CCUACGGGGGACAGCAGUGGGGAAUAUUGGACAAUGGGCGGAACCCUGAUCCAGCGACGCCGCGUGAGGGAAGAAGAAUUUCGGUAUGUAAAGCUCUAUCAUCAGGGAAGAAAGAAAUGACGGUACCUGACUAAGAAGCCCCGGCUAACUACGUGCCAGCAGCCGCGUUAAUACGUAGGAGGCAAGCGUUAUCCGGAUUUACUGGGUGUAAAGGGAGCGUAGACGGCGAUGCAAGUCUGUAGUGAAAGGCGGGGGUCCAACCUGCGGACUGCUUUGGAAACUGUAUGGCUUGAGUGCAGGAGAGGUAAGUGGAAUUCCUAGUGUAGCGGUGAAAUGCGUAGAUAUUAGGAAGAACACCAGUGGCGAAGGCGGCUUACUGGACUGUAACUGACGUUGAGGCUCGAAAGCGUGGGGAGCAAACAGGAUUAGAUACCCCAGUAGUC
Molecule: ribosomal RNA, 443 nt
Filed under: uncultured bacterium
Lineage: Bacteria
Description: partial 16S ribosomal RNA
Rfam family: Bacterial small subunit ribosomal RNA
Source: RNAcentral